GUAAUUUGAUCAGCUGCUAUCAAUCCUUGACACUAUAUAUCAAUUUGAUAUCAAGACUUUAAUUUGAAUCGAUUUUGUGACAAACAUAUAUAAAAUUAUUUCAAUUUAGUCCCAACGGUCAAAUUCCGACAAACGGUAGCGACGUGGCAUGCUGAGUAGGAAUAUUCUCGGUGUUUUGUCCACUCAGCGUGUGCCGCAUUAAUUAAUGACGCUGACUCACAAAUCCCAAAAUUAAACUGUAAUUCUAUUUUCCUCUCUUCUAUUCCCCUCUCAUCUCCUAUUCCCCUUUCUUCUUCCCCGCAACUCCCGUAACUCCUGUUACCCCCACUGUCACAGCAUUCUCGCAUUCGAAAAUCUCUCCUUCUUCGAGUAACUGAAAAUGUGUCAUAUAUCUAGUUCGUUCUCGAUUCUCCACCUGCUUAGCUUCGUCAGAAGCCUUAACAAAGUAUGACAGUUUAGCUUCGGUUAAAGUAUUAGCUUGGAGUUGUGACUCAAUUAGCAUAGUUGACCCGAUUGAAUUCAAGCUUAGACAAACUUGGAUUGUUGGUUGUAGAGUUGAAGUUUGCAGCUGAAGAAGGAUGUAUACUUUGUGGUUGUAUACUUUCAUUAAACUAAAAGCCUCAACUGGAGACAACGACAGAGAAGUUAGCAAAAAUCUAUCUUAUGGAGUUAGCAAAAAGCUAUUUGUGUAUACCGAAUGAAUUGUUAGUGUUGGUGUUGUAGCACCUUUUGUUAGUGCUGUAGCACCUUUUGUUAACUGUUUGUGUAUAGGAGAGGUGUUGUUAGUAUUGGUAGUUUGUAAUUUAAGCACCUCUUUCACAGUUGUAGUAGUUGAUUUCUUAUUGUAGAACCUGCUAUUAAAUCAAUAAAAUAAACAUUUAUUUCUA
Long non-coding RNA from Ricinus communis (castor bean), 887 nucleotides. RefSeq lists it as uncharacterized. NCBI's taxonomy places the organism in Eukaryota, Viridiplantae, Streptophyta, Magnoliopsida, Malpighiales, Euphorbiaceae. The transcript has 2 exons. The record is from RefSeq and is a predicted model, not a curated record.